RNAcentral lists this long non-coding RNA (441 nucleotides) under Triticum aestivum (bread wheat). RNAcentral's name for it is "long non-coding RNA (TAES_LNC008280)". Lineage: Eukaryota; Viridiplantae; Streptophyta; Magnoliopsida; Poales; Poaceae. The record is from RNAcentral.
AGAAAAUUACAUAUUUUAUAUUUGAUCAGCAACCUGCUUGGAUCAUCAAGAAAAUAGCUUAGCUUGCCCAGAAGACAUGUAAAUUGCUAGACGUGUUCGAAUUAUUAUCUACAUGAAUCUAGACGUGUUGUUGAGGAAUAUAUGAAAAUGGUACAUAGUAAAAGUCAUAAUUCUGUCCCAAUUAUCAACUUUUUGUACUUCACAUACAAAUUUAAUUGAUAAGAAAUAAACUAAUCAAGGCAGCCAAUUUUUUUUACCGAAAAGUCUGUCGGUUAAUGUUCUCUUCAUCCACCAUGACCUACUCUGUUUUCCUGCAAAAUCCACAACAACAAAACUAAUCUUUGUUUCUAUGAUGCAUGACAUUGAAUAGAUAGCACAAAUGGUCAACCGAAUAGUCAUCUCACGAUCCAAGUAGCCAAGCCCUUCUUCCAUCUCCUCCCG